GCCCAGUAGCGGCGAGUGAAGCGGCAAGAGCUCAGAUUUGAAAUCGUGUUUCGGCACGAGUUGUAGAGUGUAGGCGGGAGUCUCUGUGGAGCGCGGUGUCCAAGUCCCUUGGAACAGGGUGCCUGAGAGGGUGAGAGCCCCGUAGGGUGCUGCGCGAAGCUUUUGAGGCCCUGCUGACGAGUCGAGUUGUUUGGGAAUGCAGCUCCAAGCGGGUGGUAAAUUCCAUCUAAGGCUAAAUAUUGGCGAGAGACCGAUAGCGAACAAGUACUGUGAAGGAAAGAUGAAAAGCACUUUGAAAAGAGAGUGAAACAGCACGUGAAAUUGUUGAAAGGGAAGGGUAUUGGGCUCGACAUGGGGGGUGCGCACCGCUGUCUCUUGUAGGCGGCGCUCUGGGCGCCCUCUGGGCCAGCAUCGGUUCCUGCUGCGGGAGAAGGGGCUCCGGAAAGUGGCUCUUCGGAGUGUUAUAGCCGGGGCCAGAUGCCGCGUGUGGGGACCGAGGACUGCGGCUUCUGUCUCGGAUGCUGGCAUAACGGCGCAAUACCGCCCGUCUUGA
This 553-nucleotide ribosomal RNA is filed under the name Pichia manshurica. RNAcentral's name for it is "partial large subunit ribosomal RNA". It matches the Rfam family "Eukaryotic large subunit ribosomal RNA", at positions 77 to 657 of the family's 3401-position model. The record is from RNAcentral. Lineage: Eukaryota; Fungi; Ascomycota; Pichiomycetes; Pichiales; Pichiaceae.